GAACUGAAACAUCUAAGUACCUGGAGGAAGAGAAAGAAAAAUCGAUUUCCUGAGUAGCGGCGAGCGAAACGGAAAGAGCCCAAACCAAGAAGCUUGCUUCUUGGGGUUGUAGGACACUCUAUACGGAGUUACAAAAGAAAGUUAUAAAUGAAGCGGUCUGGAAAGGCCCGCCAAAGACGGUAACAGCCCGGUAGUUGAAAUGGCUUUCCCUCCAGAGUGGAUCCUGAGUACGGCGGAACACGUGAAAUUCCGUCGGAAUCCGGGAGGACCAUCUCCCAAGGCUAAAUACUCCCUAGUGACCGAUAGUGAACCAGUACCGUGAGGGAAAGGUGAAAAGCACCCCGGAAGGGGAGUGAAACAGUUCCUGAAACCGUGU
This 376-nucleotide ribosomal RNA is filed under the name Listeria monocytogenes. RNAcentral's name for it is "partial 23S ribosomal RNA". It matches the Rfam family "Bacterial large subunit ribosomal RNA", at positions 190 to 561 of the family's 2925-position model. Lineage: Bacteria; Bacillati; Bacillota; Bacilli; Caryophanales; Listeriaceae. The record is from RNAcentral.